GUGAGAUUCUGAUGCAGCGUUAUUUUUCAUUUCCUGUCAUUUCAGAGAAGAAAAUGAGGCAGAAACACGGACAAAGGCUCAAAUUAGUCAACGAGAAUGUGUGAACACGCUACAGACACAGACAAAAGUCAACUGAAGACAGCUGACUGUGGUCCAGAACAAAGACGCGACAUCGGCGACAAAUAGGUUUGCUUCCAGACUAAUAAUGAAAGAAACUUUUUUUUUUGGACUGAGACAAGACUAUAUGAUUUGAAGUAACUACUCACACAUCCAGGCUGUCUCAUGAAGAAAUGUAAAAGAGCUAAAAAAAAAAAAACCUUCUGGAACCACAAAGUCUGGAUUUGUGAACAUCUUCAGAACAGCAUUGAAAACUGAUCAUUAUUUAACUGCAGAAAACAGGGGGGAAAAAAUCGUACUUUUAUAAACUGCUGAGGGAAGGGAGGCAUGUUUUUAUAUCAAAUGUUCUUAUACGUUAGAAAUUGUGUGGCAUUUGACCAAACUUGUCGUCGUUUGACUACACAGAUUCAGAAACAGUAAAACAACACUGCAUUUCUCACUGCAGGGACCAGACAUUUAUAUUUCAUGCUAAACUCCUGAGCGGCUGAAUAAUUGAAGUGGAAUCCAAUGCUGAUGGACUCCUCUCCGUUUAGUGAGGAAGACAGAUCAAAACCCCGGGGGGAAACACACGUGUGAUGCUCACCAGGCAUGCAAAGAGCCCGGCUCUGAGCUCGUCUUUGGCUGAGCACACCUGGGGUACGGGCGCACCUGCAGCCUCCGCUGCCAGGACGACAUCCUCCUUGACCUCAAUAUGCUGUCCUGAAGAAGCCUUCAGUGAACCGGGAGAAUCUAGGAUACAGUGAUAAUGAUAAGUGUUCAGGUGUCACACCUGCAGCUUUUCUGACGGUGACUCGCACUGAGGUGGUCUGUGGUGUACGCCCCCACGGAGCUGAGGCCAGGGUAGCAGCUGUCCCUAUCAGACUCUCCUCAGCGCUGUCACAACCUGUCUGCUCUCACAGCUAAUCACGUCCUACAGGCCUGCAGCGUGGGACCACCGCUGCUAAUGUCUGCACCGAAUGGGCUGGGAUAGACUCGCAGAGUGGGCAUGAUGUCACUCAUAACAGUGUACUUCAUGCUGACACAGCUGUCUCUGCUAAAGUAGUUCCACUGCUUUCCCAGGAGCAGAGAAUAUUUAACUGAAAGCCCACUGAACAUUAAGGGCUUUGGCAGCUGGAGCAGAGCAGGGCACUGAGGGACAGACGAGACACUCCUGCAGCCAGAAUAAGGAGAAACCUCCAGGACACCAUUGUGUCGCGGAAAGUCGAACGCCUCAGCUUGUCUUCUGGCAAAAACCAGCAAAGCUGUCAUUGCACUCGCUAAUGCUGACUGCAGGUGUCUCUCUGUAUGCACCGUGCACUGUGUCCCCCGGUGAAGGAGUCAGGACUGAGGCACCAUCACGGCAAAAACAACCAGCCAAUGACUGCAGGUCUUACAACCAGAAAACGAGGAAGAUCGUUUCAGGUUCGAGAUCUUGCCCUCCACUGCAGUGAGACUUGCUAAUGCUCUAUGGUUUGGACUCAGUGGCCCUAUCUGAAACACAGAAGAAUGAACUGCUGUAGACAAAAUCAAUUGUGCUACAUUGGGGCAUGUCGGAGAUGAAGCCACCAAGAAGAGCCAGGUGCUGGUCAUCAGCUGACCCACGACUCACAACUUCAAAGCCUGCUUUGAACUGUUACUGAUUGAAUUGAGACCCCUCAUCGAGGAGCCCAGUGUUCAAAGGGAAGUGGAGGAAGGUCGACUGGACCACCACUCAAAUGUACCCGCAAUGUUUUUAGCAUGCAGGUAGGGGUAUAUAUAUAUAACACCUCGAAUACAGGAUCAGGAUCAGAGAAGAACCAGCCAAGCAUCGGCCCCCGGACAUGACAGCAGGUCUCUGAGGCCACAUGGCAUGAAAGAAGAAUGCCUUCGCUUUGUGUGCUCUCAGAGAAACACAGGAGACUGGCCCAAGAAAAGAAGAACGCCUCUGUGAGGAGCAGCACCUGAAUAUACUGAAUAUACUGAAAGAACGAGGAGAGGACAAGAAACACCUGGGUGAGGUUGACAUAUCUGUGGUUGCUCAGCUUUUCAUUGACAUAUACUGUAUAUACAUAUAUGUAUGUAUUUAUAUAUGUAUGUAUAUAAAGCCAUCAGUAGUCUGUCCAGAGCAGGGGUGCCAAACAUACGGCCCAUGGGCCAAAACCGGUCCACUAGGGUGUUCAGUCCGGCCCGCUAAAAGAUACACAAACUUUUAGUAUAUUUUUUGCAAAAUGAUAUUCAAAAGUAUCUCAUAUACUUAUACUUUUAAACAUGAAAACUAAGGGGAAAAAACAUGGACUUGCUAUUUAUAGUUAAUGAUGUUAUGAUUGUACUGGUCCAGCCCACUUGACAUCUAAUUAGGUUGUAUUGACCCAUAAACCAAAAUGAGUUUGGUUGGUCUGGUCUAAAACCUUGUUCCUUCAGCAGCUUCAAGGGUAACCAGAGCUGCUCCAGCCUCAUCUUGUUCCUCAGCCGAUUAUUCUAUUAUAUUGAGGCAAACUUAUCAAUGUUCUUCAUGAAUCUUCUCAUUGGGUUUUUUUAUUGGCUGGUAGAGUCAUCUUUAAAUUUCAACAAACAUCAGCUGUCUGUCUGAAAUGUCAAUGUCAAUCCUAUGAUUGCUCAUCAUUUCUAAGAAAAAAAAGUAAAAAAAACACUUUUUUUUUUAUUCUUUUAAACAUAUUUGAUUUCUAUGCAGGUCUUCCAAACUUUAACUUUUUUUAAUAAUUAGAAGAGUCUCUCUUGUGCUUAGUUUAACUCUGGCAUGUCUGCUCUGAUUGUGUAUAGAAUUGAAUUGAUCGUUGUAGGUUACUGGCACAUACACAAUUUAAAAAAAAACAAAACUCUGCACAAUAUCCCUGGGUGAUAUACGUCUUCACAACCUACCUGUGUCAACUUACAUUGUUUUCUUAGAAGAGGAAGCGGAGGAAGAUAAUAAAGAAACGGCAUAACACUUCUAGUUCUGAAGGUCCUUGUUUCUUUUCUCAAAGAUUUGCAGGCUUAAUAAAAGUCACUCAAGAAUUUUUCACUUUACACUGUAUUCACUGGUAGAGAUAUACAGUGACCUACAUUUCUCUGAUAAUGUGUAUAUCCACGUUAAUAUGCAGAGACUAGAUUUGUAUCACCUCUGGAGAAGAAAACUGAAUUAUUUUACAGACCACCCUGUAGCGUUUCUGUCACGGUAGAAUAUGGCAGUUAUGUACUGUACCUUAUUACAUUCUGAGGAUUUUUUGGUUCAGAGAGAAUUUUUUCUGUUAGUGGAUCCUGUGGUCACAUAAAACCGUCCACAGAUACAGGGUCUCUAAUAGUGCUAGAUCAGUGGUUCUCUAACUGUUUGAUGACCAACAUUAGAAUAUAGCAGCAUAGGCCUUCACUAUUAGCUUCCACCACACAGGGGCGAUGUUUAUAAAGGUGUUUAUGCUUAAAUUUUCUAUUAAUUGUGCAUGGUAUGUUUCAGAUUUAUUCAAUUGAAAAUGUAAAUGUGGAAAUUGGAAUUUUCCCCACGUACCACCGGUGGUACGCCUACCACAGUUUGAGAACCACUGUACUAGAUCAUUUGAGCAUAUAGCAUA
This is a long non-coding RNA of Cynoglossus semilaevis (tongue sole), 3641 nucleotides long. RefSeq lists it as uncharacterized. The record is from RefSeq and is a predicted model, not a curated record. NCBI's taxonomy places the organism in Eukaryota, Metazoa, Chordata, Actinopteri, Pleuronectiformes, Cynoglossidae. The transcript is spliced from 7 exons.